UACGGGGGGAGCAAGCGUUGUUCGGAUUUACUGGGCGUAAAGGGCGCGUAGGCGGUCAGCACAAGUCAGUUGUGAAAUCUCCGGGCUUAACCCGGAAAGGUCAACUGAUACUGUGCGACUAGAGUGCGGAAGGGGCAACUGGAAUUCUCGGUGUAGCGGUGAAAUGCGUAGAUAUCGAGAGGAACACCUGCGGCGAAGGCGGCUCUCUGGGACGGUACUGACGCUGAGACGCGAAAGCGUGGGGAGCGAACAGG
This 254-nucleotide ribosomal RNA is filed under the name uncultured bacterium. Its description in RNAcentral is "partial 16S ribosomal RNA". It matches the Rfam family "Bacterial small subunit ribosomal RNA", at positions 524 to 776 of the family's 1533-position model. The record is from RNAcentral.